This is an RNA transcript of Xenopus laevis (African clawed frog), 994 nucleotides long. It is a transcript of the gene named single-pass membrane protein with coiled-coil domains 4 L homeolog, with no coding region annotated. The record is from RefSeq and is marked provisional. The transcript is spliced from 2 exons. NCBI's taxonomy places the organism in Eukaryota, Metazoa, Chordata, Amphibia, Anura, Pipidae.
AAUAUUCUCUUUGGAGCCGACCAAGUGGAAAUCUCACAAAAAACAGCAAUCGGUUGUGACUCUGUCCUUCAGCGCUGAAAUGGUUAAAUCAAGCAGGAGGGGGCGGGGCCCUGCAGCCACGUCACCUCGCAAAUCCAUCACCCGCUUCCCUUUCUAAUAAAGUUCUCUGCCGUUUGAAUGCUUUACCCCCUCCCUUGCUGGCUGCCUCGCUCGGCGUGUCGGGAGUUGUAGUCUUGGCUGCUGUUGGCGCUUCCCCUGCAGGUUGGGAGUCGGCAGCGAGUCGGAGGAAAGCAAAUCUUCUGCAGUCUGAAGAGGCCGUAAUUUGGUGUCACCAGCACAACCGGAUUAAGCCGGAGGCUACAUAAUGCGGCAGCUGAAGGGAAAGCCCAAGAAAGAGACGUCAAAAGAUAAAAAGGAGAGGAAACAGGCCAUGCAAGAGGCCCGGCAGCAGAUAACCACUGUAGUGCUUCCCACGCUGGCCGUGGUGGUGGCAUUAAUCGUUGUAUUUGUGUAUGUGGCAACGCGCCCAAAUACAAUAGAAUAGAGUCUUCUCAUACACAGCUGCCUUCUGGCAAUGGAGCCAAAAACAGAUUUUUUUUUUUUUUUUUCUUUUAAAGAAUUUUACCAUUCUGACAAUUUGUAAAAUGGACCCUUUAAUCACCUGCAGUGUUUUUAGCCAACUGUCCUUUAUUGAAUGUAACGAAGAGCAAAUAUCCAUGACAAACGUGCCAUGCGUUCCGAGUAAAACAGUUACUGUGCCUUUUUAUAGUGAUUUUUUUAAUUUUUAAUAAAAUAUGCUGAUGCACCAGUGUAAAUGACACCCCAUAAUCUGAAAACAAUACUGCCCUCAUUUCAAUGUAUCAAGAAAAAAAGAACCUCGUAUCUGUAUUAUGCAGUUGCCAAAGGACGUUCCCUUGCGGUGAUGUUGAUUAUCUAUAUUGUAUCCUCCAUCUCUGAUAUUUAUUUUUGGAAUAAAGAAUGAAAAAAAAGUCUA